GUGAUUAAAUCGAGAGCGUCUUCAUUGACCUCUCACCCUUCACAUCCACAUACACCUGUGAACCGUUUGGCUCUUAUAAAAGACGCAAGUCUGCAAUGAGAGUCAUCAUUUUAUACAUACCCCAGUCUUAUGAAUGUAACAGUUUUAAUAAACAUAAUA
RNAcentral lists this unclassified non-coding RNA (159 nucleotides) under uncultured Mrakia. Its description in RNAcentral is "sequence contains ITS1". The record is from RNAcentral. Lineage: Eukaryota; Fungi; Basidiomycota; Tremellomycetes; Cystofilobasidiales; Cystofilobasidiaceae.